This 496-nucleotide ribosomal RNA is filed under the name uncultured bacterium. RNAcentral describes it as "partial 16S ribosomal RNA". It matches the Rfam family "Bacterial small subunit ribosomal RNA", at positions 28 to 507 of the family's 1533-position model. The record is from RNAcentral.
GAUGAACGCUGGCGGCGUGCCUAAUACAUGCAAGUCGAGCGAACGGACGAGAAGCUUGCUUCUCUGAUGUUAGCGGCGGACGGGUGAGUAACACGUGGAUAACCUACCUAUAAGACUGGGAUAACUUCGGGAAACCGGAGCUAAUACCGGAUAAUAUUUUGAACCGCAUGGUUCAAAAGUGAAAGACGGUCUUGCUGUCACUUAUAGAUGGAUCCGCGCUGCAUUAGCUAGUUGGUAAGGUAACGGCUUACCAAGGCAACGAUGCAUAGCCGACCUGAGAGGGUGAUCGGCCACACUGGAACUGAGACACGGUCCAGACUCCUACGGGAGGCAGCAGUAGGGAAUCUUCCGCAAUGGGCGAAAGCCUGACGGAGCAACGCCGCGUGAGUGAUGAAGGUCUUCGGAUCGUAAAACUCUGUUAUUAGGGAAGAACAUGUGUGUAGUAACUGUGCACAUCUUGACGGUACCUAAUCAGAAAGCCACGGCUAACUACGUG